Molecule: long non-coding RNA, 1392 nt
Organism: Hevea brasiliensis (rubber tree)
Lineage: Eukaryota; Viridiplantae; Streptophyta; Magnoliopsida; Malpighiales; Euphorbiaceae
Exons: 3
Source: RefSeq, a predicted model, not a curated record
AACAGGUAUUUGGAUAUGCUCUUCACAAAAAUGGAACAACUACUAAACUAUCAUAUCCUUUGCAACGCUUUGAUCUAGAUGUGGCUGGAAGAAGUUCUCACAAUGGACGUUUCAUUAAAGAUGCGUGAAAAAGCUGCUUCUUUACCCAAACUUCAAAGUUACUUUUCACUUUCCUAUGCCAUAGAUGUUCAAAAUUAUUUACUUCAUACUGAAUAAUCGUUUUAUUGCUUUCAACAGCCAAUAAAAUUUCCCUUAUUUUUAUUCUAGUGUAAGAUUGGAGGAAGGGACAGUAACAUCCCUACUUGAAGUAAAGGGGACAAUUACGGGUGUGCAAUACAAAACUAAAACUGGUCAAGAAUUUGCUGCUUGUGCUCCACUUGCAAUAGUAUGCAAUGGUUGUUUUUCAAAUUUGCGACUUUCUCUCUGCAAACCUAAGGUUGAUAUACCCUUUUGUUUUGUUGCAUUGAUCUUAGAGAAUUGUGAGCUUCCAUACACAAAUCAUGGACAUGUUAUUCUUGCAGACCCUUCACCAAUCUUGUUCUAUCGUGGUAGUAGCUCUGAAAUUCGAUGCUUGGUUGACGUACCUGGCCAAAAACUACCUUCCAUUUCAAAUGGUGAAAUGGCCAGCCACUUGAAAAUUAUGAUGGCUCCCCAGGCAUUCAAAGUUUACCAAGCAAGCUAAUGCUUUUUCUUUUUUUUUUUUUUGUUUUUUUUGUUUUUUUUUGGCAUUGAUACUUGUAGUUAGUAGUUCUAGGGAGCUUUCCAAAAUAACUCCACUUAUGAUGCUUUAAAGCUUUUGAUAUGAAAUUACUCAAAUAUUUGACAAGUCAUUUAUCUUUGAAUCGUUACACUAAUCAAGAACUUCUAUAUGUGUUUCAGAUUCCUCAAGAGCUACGUGAUGCAUUUGUUUUUGCAAUUAACAAACAUAAGAACAAUGCCUAAUAGAAGCAUGCCUGCUGCUCCUUAACCCUCUCCAGGUGCUCUUCUGUUAGGAGAUGCAUUGACCAUGAGGCACCCUUUAACAGGUGGAGGAAUGACUGUUGCACUAUCAGAUAUAGUUGUACUAAGCAAUGACCGAAGCAAUGCAUAUUCCCUUUGCAAGUAUCUUGAAUCUUUCUAUACGCUGCGUAAGGUUGCAUCAGGAAUCAUUUUCCCUAUCAUAAGGGCAGAAGGAGUUUGACAAAUGUUCUUCCCGACAACCUUAACAAAUUUAAAAUCUCAAGUUGUCUGACAACGAGAAAUUCGAAGAAUUAAAAUCAAUGAAAGUCGGUAGCAAUGCAUCUUUAUUUCAAAUGAGCUAAUGAUUUGGAGGAUGAUUUGUGUUAAAUUUGCAACAGUUUUUCUUUUAUUGCUAUCAAAAGUUCCCACAUGUAAUUAUGCCCAUAUUUUUGU